Long non-coding RNA from Sphaeramia orbicularis (orbiculate cardinalfish), 280 nucleotides. RefSeq lists it as uncharacterized. The transcript has 3 exons. Lineage: Eukaryota; Metazoa; Chordata; Actinopteri; Kurtiformes; Apogonidae. The record is from RefSeq and is a predicted model, not a curated record.
UCUCCUGUCCCUCCUGUCCUCAUUUAUCCCUCCUGUCCUCAUCUGUCCCCUCCUGUCCUCUCCUGUCCUCAUCUGUCCUCAUCUGUCCUCUCCUGUCCUCGUCUUAGUCUUUGUGUCUCCAGGGACCAAACGUCACCAACACUAACUCUGCUUCAGUUGUGACGUCGCCUUAAACUCUAUUGGUUGAAUCACAUGUAAAGGAGGUGUCGGCGCCCGUAGGGGGCGGAGCCCUCCAUCCAAUCGCCUUCUUCAGUCCUUCCAAACAGCCGAUCACCUGAAC